This 497-nucleotide ribosomal RNA is filed under the name uncultured bacterium. RNAcentral describes it as "partial 16S ribosomal RNA". It matches the Rfam family "Bacterial small subunit ribosomal RNA", at positions 28 to 507 of the family's 1533-position model. The record is from RNAcentral.
GAUGAACGCUGGCGGCGUGCCUAAUACAUGCAAGUCGAGCGAACGGACGAGAAGCUUGCUUCUCUGAUGUUAGCGGCGGACGGGUGAGUAACACGUGGAUAACCUACCUAUAAGACUGGGAUAAUUUCGGGAAACCGGAGCUAAUACCGGAUAAUAUUUUGAACCGCAUGGUUCAAAAGUGAAAGACGGUCUUGCUGUCACUUAUAGAUGGAUCCGCGCUGCAUUAGCUAGUUGGUAAGGUAACGGCUUACCAAGGCAACGAUGCAUAGCCGACCUGAGAGGGUGAUCGGCCACACUGGAACUGAGACACGGUCCAGACUCCUACGGGAGGCAGCAGUAGGGAAUCUUCCGCAAUGGGGGAAAGCCUGACGGAGCAACGCCGCGUGAGUGAUGAAGGUCUUCGGAUCGUAAAACUCUGUUAUUAGGGAAGAACAUAUGUGUAAGUAACUGUGCACAUCUUGACGGUACCUAAUCAGAAAGCCACGGCUAACUACGUG